AUAACAUGUUUGAAAAUAAUAUUAACUUUCUGCACCAUUGUCUCACUCAGCAACUUCACGAGCAUCAGGCAGAGUUUAGGCUCCCCACAGUGGAUGAGCUGCUCAAUACUGACAACUUUGUGUGACCAUGGGAGGCCCUUGGCACCAGCAACAGCCUUCUUGCCAUCAAAAAGGCAAUCUUUGACAGACUGAUGUUGGUGAACAGACUGCAGGAGGACGAGUGAAUCCUGGUGCAGGAGAUGAAGAGGCACCGGGGAGCCUACAAAGUUGAAGCAAUGCAGUGGAGUUGUCAGAGAGAGGGAGGAAUGGUCAUCUCUGCCUCCUGAAGAGAAGAUUGAGUGAACAAUUUUUUUUGAUGACUCUCAUGUAGAUGGAAACUCAAAUGAAGAUAGAAGUUCUAUUGCUGAGAGCUCAGAUGAUGACUACUAUGCUUUUUGAAAUCAUACACCACCCCUGCCUCUUUCUCUCGGUCUCGCUCUCAGAGAGAAGGCUGCCAUCACCUCCCUUGGGAGCAGCCUGGUCUUUCGAUGUUGACCCCUCACCCUCUAAACACCUCAAGUAAAUUUUUAUUUGUAUGAUGAUGUACUAGUGGAGAAGAAAUGUCUAAUUUCAGCUCAUUUGUUGCCAUUUCCUCUCCUCACCUCCUCUCCUCCGAUUCUUCCGGUCCUAGAAAAUGGCGACAUCACCAGCAACUCAGAAUGUUGGUUGAGGACCUCUUUACUGAGGAAUGUGGUUGUUCUUCAUAAUUCAUAAUUUCUUGGAGUAUUUUCUAGGCUGCCAUGAUUGUGAUUUGUUGUGUAAUUGUGAGUUGCAAAAGAGUCCUUGGUGUCAAUGGGACUGCUAAAAUAAAUAAAUAAAGUAAAGGUCUUAAUAAAUAAAUAAAUGCACCUCUACAGGA
Molecule: long non-coding RNA, 898 nt
Organism: Oncorhynchus nerka (sockeye salmon)
Lineage: Eukaryota; Metazoa; Chordata; Actinopteri; Salmoniformes; Salmonidae
Exons: 3
Source: RefSeq, a predicted model, not a curated record